This 1156-nucleotide long non-coding RNA is filed under the name Monodelphis domestica (gray short-tailed opossum). RNAcentral's name for it is "lncRNA (ENSMODG00000031334.2)". The record is from RNAcentral. Lineage: Eukaryota; Metazoa; Chordata; Mammalia; Didelphimorphia; Didelphidae.
GCAUCUCUCAUUCUGAAACCCUCAUGUAAACUAACUGCCUAUAUCACAUGUUUCCAUGGUAUCCUAGGAGAUCUCCAUCCUGAAGUAAUCCAAGCCAAGCCAAGGUAUAUUCAUUAAGCACCUACCAUGUGCAAAGCACUGUGCUGGAUGCUGGGGAUAUAAAGACAAGAUCAAGAAGUUUAAAUUCUACUAGACAUGGAAGAUGUAUGUGUGAAUGAUGUGCAGCAGAUACAGUCUGUCAACAGAUAAGUACACACAUGAUCAUUUGAGUAGAGAUCACAAAAUUUGAGAGUCAGGAGAGACCCCAGAAGCCAUCCUCCCUAUACUAUAGCUGACAAGUAGUCUCAAGCCACUACUUGAAGGUCUCCAAAAGGGGCUCCCACUACCUCCUGAGGCAGCCCAUUCUAAUUUGGGACAGCUCUAAACAUGAGGAAGUUUGCUUGAUAUCCAGUUUAACUUUGCCUCCUUGCAACACCCACCCACUGCUCAUGAUUCUUUCUACCCUUUAGAGUCAAGUAGAAAAAUCUGUUACCUUUCACAUAUGAGAGGCCUGAAGAUACCUAUGAUGGGGUCUGGGGGCUCGAGCACACACCCAUAAAAGCUACAGAUGUUUCCUUCCUAGGCUCUGACCAACAAUGCUGGGCCAGGGGGGGAUGCUGUGGGGGCCUUUCUUCUCUACAGGAAUCACCAGCUGGGCACUCCAUCCUGGGGAUGUGAAAAAGAUGGUGACACACCUAUCAAGAGCCAGGGGAUGCUGGCCAGCCACUUAGAGCUCUGAAGGAUCUACCCAGGCUAGACUGUGACUGUGUAAGGAUGAAGAUGACGUCACGAUCUGAUGAAGGAGGAAACCUCUUAAUGGCUCCUACAAAUGUUGGCCUAUACCCGUCAUUCAAUCCUGUGCCCUGGUUGGCAAGAGCACAUGACCAGCUGCUAGAUGUCCAGCAAUGAUCUAGGGGGCUGUCUACCCCAUGAAUGGUAUGACUUCACCAAUCGGAAUGAGUGGAUGAGAGCAAUUUGUUUCAAGAGUCAUGAAGGCUUUUGAAUACAGCUGGAGAUCUGGUACAGCAGGGUCACUUCCCUUCAUUUUUUUUUCAAUAAUUCCUUUGAUAUUUUUUACUUUUUGUCCUUCCAAGUUAAUUUUUAUUCAUUUAAUAAU